RNAcentral lists this long non-coding RNA (242 nucleotides) under Felis catus (domestic cat). Its description in RNAcentral is "lncRNA (ENSFCAG00000050411.1)". The record is from RNAcentral. Lineage: Eukaryota; Metazoa; Chordata; Mammalia; Carnivora; Felidae.
CGGGAUUGGUUGCCGCCUUCACCGCCGUAGGAGGGCCGGGCGGAGACGCCUCACCCAGAGAAUUUUUCAGAAAGCUCAGAGCCAAAUUGAAUGUGAAUUGAAACCACUCUCCUGGUUUUCUGGGGUAAGUGUCUUCCAUUUCAGUUGGUUAUUAUUGUGAUGGUGUGGAUUGUGGAUCUGUAAAGGUGGCGAUGAGGAGGUAGGCUGCAUUGUUUGCUGAAGCAUGGGGCUUCAGGCACUGC